Molecule: long non-coding RNA, 247 nt
Filed under: Eucalyptus grandis
Lineage: Eukaryota; Viridiplantae; Streptophyta; Magnoliopsida; Myrtales; Myrtaceae
Description: long non-coding RNA (EGRA_LNC006934)
Source: RNAcentral
UUAGGUAAGUCAAUUAGUGAUGUACACCUGCAAAAGAAACUUGUAUUGAGUGAAGUAACUGAAGGUAGCAGAUCAAAAACAAAAAAAAAGAUGACAAAUGAUACGAGAGAACAUGAUACCCUGCAAAAAAAAAAAAAAAUUAAAAAUCUCACCAUAAAAAAAAAAAAAAAGAAGAGAAAAAGCAAACUUACAUUGAUCAAUUUUCUGCGAGCUUCUUGAAGCUCAUUAUUCUGAUUAUGCACCUUUA